Molecule: ribosomal RNA, 275 nt
Filed under: uncultured bacterium
Lineage: Bacteria
Description: partial 16S ribosomal RNA
Rfam family: Bacterial small subunit ribosomal RNA
Source: RNAcentral
CCUACGGGCGGCUGCAGUGGGGGAUAUUGCGCAAUGGGCGAAAGCCUGACGCAGCGACGCCGCGUGGGUGAUGAAGGCCUUCGGGUCGUAAAGCCCUGUCGAGGGGGAAGAAACAGCAGCGACCUAAUACGUCGUUGCCUUGACGGUACCCCUAAAGGAAGCACCGGCUAACUCCGUGCCAGCAGCCGCGGUAAUACGGAGGGUGCAAGCGUUGUUCGGAAUCACUGGGCGUAAAGCGCGUGUAGGCGGUCUGUUAAGUCUGAUGUGAAAGCCCG